Non-coding RNA from Rattus norvegicus (Norway rat), 5634 nucleotides. NCBI's taxonomy places the organism in Eukaryota, Metazoa, Chordata, Mammalia, Rodentia, Muridae. The record is from RefSeq and is a predicted model, not a curated record.
AUGUCGUCCACCGCGGCUUUUUGCCUUCUCUCUACUCUGGGAGGGUAUUUGGUCACCUCGUUCUUGUUACUUAAAUACCCAGCGUUGCUCCACCAGAGAAAGAAACAGCGAUUCCUCAGUAGGCACAUCUCUCACCGCGGAGGUGCUGGAGAAAACCUGGAGAACACAAUGGCUGCCUUCCAGCACGCAGUUACCAUUGGGACGGACAUGUUAGAACUGGACUGCCAUAUCACAAAAGAUGAGCAGGUUGUAGUGUCACAUGAUGCAAAUCUGAAGAGGUCAACUGGGGUCAAUGUAAACGUCUCUGAUCUCAAAUACUGUGAGCUCCCACCUUACCUUUGCAAACUGGAUGUCCCAUUUCAGAGAGGGAGCUCCGGCACUAGAACCAUCACUGCAUGCAAGUGUGAAGGAACAGAUACCCGGAUUCCCUUGCUGAAGGAAGUGUUUGAGGCCUUUCCUGAGACCCCCAUUAACAUCGACAUCAAAGUGAACAACAACGUGCUGAUUCAGAAGGUCUCAGAACUGGUGAAGCAGUACAAGCGCGAACACCUGACAGUGUGGGGCAAUGCCAGCUCUGAGAUUGUAGACAAGUGUUACAAAGAGAACUCAGAUAUCCCUAUCCUCUUCAGCCUGCAGCGUGUUCUGCUCAUCCUUGGCCUUUUCUUCACUGGCCUCUUGCCCUUUGUGCCCAUUCGAGAGCAGUUCUUUGAGAUCCCAAUGCCCUCCAUCAUACUGAAGCUAAAAGAACCGCACAUUAUAUCCAAAGGUCAUAAGUUUCUCAUCUGGCUUUCGGACACCUUAUUAAUGCGGAAAGCUUUAUUUGACCACCUCACCGCCCGGGGCAUUCAAGUAUACAUUUGGGUUUUAAAUGAAGAGCAUGAGUACAAAAGAGCUUUUGAUUUGGGGGCCACGGGAGUGAUGACGGACUAUCCAACGAAGCUUAAGGAGUUCUUAAAUAACAUGUCAGCAUGAAGCACUCCAGAUCAUUGAGAGGAGUCAUGAUCAGAAAAGAUCUGAGGAAAGAAUCAGCAGUCUUUGAAAAGUGCUUCAAAACAGGCUGGAGAGAGAUGGCCCAGUGGCUAAGUAGACUGCACUUGAUGCUCUUUCUGAGGACCUGAGUUUGGUUUGCAGCACCGAUACAGGGCAGCUCACAACUGCCUGCAACUCUAGGAAAUCCGACGCCCUCUUCUGGGCUCCACAGGUAACUGCACUCACAUGUGCACAUGCCUAUGCAUACACACAUAAUUGAAAUUAAAUCUUUUAGAAAGAUCUUUCAGGGCUGGAGAGAUGGCUCAGUGGUUAAGAGCACUGACUGCUCUUCCAGAGGUCCUGAGUUCGAUUCCCAGCAACCACAUGGUAGCUCACAACCAUCUGUAAUGAGAUCUGAUGCCCUCUUCUGGUGUGUCUGAAGGCAGCUACAGUGGACUUAUAUAUAAUAAAUAAAUGUUUAAAAAAAUCUUUCAAGGGUUGGGGAUUUAGUUCAGUGGCCCUGGGUUCGGUCCUCAGCUCCAAAAAAAAAAAAAAUCUUUCAAGUAGAAAUGAGUUUUAAUCUAAGGGGAGGAGUUGGGGAGAUUGAACAAAGCUAUAAAUUCAGUCCCACUCUUUUUUCUUUUCUUUUUUCGGAGCUGAGAACCGAACCCAGGGCUUUGUGCUUACUAGGCAAGUGCUCUACCACUGAGCUAAAUCCCCAACCCCUCCAGUCCCACUCUUAACGGCCCAAGUCUGCUUGACAUUGGCUACCCCAGGAAGCCAGUGUAACCCACCACUAAGUAACAGCAUACUCACCCUUCCUCAUGGUCAGAGAAGAGGCUUAGAUACCAGUGAGUUUUAUGGGGUUUUGUUUGUUUUGAGGCAAGGUUCUACCAUGCAUCUUAGGCUAACCUCAGAUUCAUGAUCUUCCUGCCUCUGCCUCCUCAGUGCUUGGAUUAUUAACAUUUGCUAGCAUGGCAGGCAGCCACAGGCUCUAAUCCUUCGAUGAAGCAGAACUAUCAAAGGUGGCUACUUCAGCCUUCCGAGAGUAGAGAGCAAGAACAAAACUCAAGAAAAUGUGAGGACCAUUGAGAUGGCUCAGUGGGGUUGCACAAACUGACAGCUGAUGUUUGAUCCCUGGAGCCCACACAAAGGUGGAAGGACAGCAGUGACUCCACGAGGUUGUCCUCCAAUUUCCAUGCACAUCUGUGGCAUGUACACCUCCCUGACACGCACACAUGCGCGUAUCUGAGUCAAGCAUGCCAGAGAAUUCUCUAAGUAAAACCUCUGUGUUAUACACACUCAGUUUUUAAUCUCGAGCUCUUGGUUAAGGAGGGCAUUCAUUCCGUGAAUGCCCUAGGCAAUUCCAGAUGGUUGGUCCUUGCAUGAAAGACUGGUGAGUGGGGAUUCCCACUUGCAUUUCCUGUCAGAGCCACUUCUGAGCAUCUUCAAGCAUUGCAGGCAGCUUCGAGUUUUCUGGAUGGUUUUAGCUUUCCUGACCUAGAUUCUUGACCUCUUUGACACGUCUUAAUCCUCGGCUUCUAACAUGGCUUUGUUCUAGAACUGAAGCAGUUCUCUGGAUGGAUUUGUGAAUCAUACAGGACUAUUGGAGUCAAUCUGUAAAGAAGUUAUUAUUGUAAAGUAAAAUGGCCUUCGUCCAGUUUAAAUGAUGUAUGUGUGUGUAUAUGUGUGUGCACGUGUGUUCACAUGUGCACACGCGCGUGUGUAUGUGUGUGUGUGUCCAUGUGUGUGUAGAGGUCAGAAGGUGACCUCAUGUGCCUUGCAUCUUGUUUGAGACCAAGUCUGUUGCUCACCACGACAUAUCACAGACUACUUGGGGAUGAACUUGGGGGAUUCUCUCUGUCUCUGGGUCCGUCUCACUCAUGAAGCGCUGGGAUUCUCAUCAGGAGCUACCACCCUGAAAAGACAAGACACAGCUGGAGGGAUGGCUUCGUCACAGACGGCUCAAGUUGCUCUCAUGGAGGAGGAUCUAGGUUCUGUUCCUGGCACCACAUGGGCCCUCAGUCACCUGCAAUCACAGCAAGCCAAAUAAAUGCUCAUGUCUAAAAGAUAAAACAAUUUUUUUUUCUUUUUCUUUUUUUUCGGAGCUGAGGACCGAACCCAGGGCCUUGCACUUGCUAGGCAAGUGCUCUAUCACUGAGCUAAAUCCCCAACCCCCAAGAUAAAACAAUCUUAAAACAUUAAUUAAGGUCUUAGCUAGCCAGGCUCUUGCUAAUUUGCACAGGUUGGCCUCAAACUUAAGAGCCCUUUGCCUCAGACAUCCAAGUGGCUUGAUUUACAGGCUUACACCACCAGGCUCAGGGACUCAAAUCAUUCAUUUCCUUCAGUGCCACCGUCUUGACAUCAGCGCAAACCAUUUCCCUCCUGUAUCACUGCAGAACCUCUCACAGAUUCUUUCCUUCUUCAGUCUGUGCUUAAAGCAGCUGCCCGAGAAGUCCAGCUGAAGAUAUGUCAGGGGCUAGAGAGGCGGCUCAGUCAACAGUUCUUGUCUCAUCUUGCAGAGGCUUUAGGAUUUAGUCUUUUCCCAGCACUCACCUGGCAGCUCACAACUUCUGCAUGCAUCGGGUGCUAGUGUGGGAGCAGUGUGCUCAUAGCACAGGCAAAACACUCACACUCAAGAUAAAUAUAAUGUAUAUUUAUAUUAUGUACUAUUAAUAUUUUUUAAUCUAAAACCAAAGCCAGAUGUGGUGGUCCAUACCUUUAAUCCCAGCACAUGGGAGGCAGAGGCAGAAGAUUCUCUGAGUUCAAGGCUAGCCUGGUCUAAAAGGUGGAUUCCAGGACAACCAGAGAAACCCCUCUGGAAAAAACAAAAAUGAGGGCUGGAGAGGUGGUUCUGUGGUUAAGAGCACUGGCUGUUCUUCCAAAGGACCCACAUGGCUGCUCAUGACUCUGUAACGCCAGUUCCAGGGGAUCUGACACCUUUAUACAGACAUAUAUGUAGGCAAAACACCAAUGCACAUAAAAAAAUAAAAUAAAAAGGUAUCAUAAAAAAUGUAACCAACUUAAAAAAGAAAAACCAAAACUGAAAAAAACAACAAACAGACAAACCAACAAAUCCAAAACCAGGCUUGGUGAGAUGGCUCAGUGGGUAAAAGUGUGUCUGAGUUUUAUCCCCAGAACCCACUUGAUAGAUUCUCUUUUGACUUCCUCCGAGUGUGCUGUGUCACACCCUUGCAAAUACUCAUACAAACAAGCAACAACAGAGUUAAAGAAAAACAAAAAAGAAUAAUCGCGGGGCUGGAGAGAGAGCUCAGCAGUUAAGAACACUUGUUGCUGGCUUAGAGAACCACGCUUGGUUCCCAGCACCUUCGUGACAGCUUGCAAGCAUCUGUACUUCCAGUUCCACGGCAUCGAGCGCUCUCUUCUGGCCUCUGUAGGUAUUGCAUGCUCUUGGCGCACAUGGAGGCAAACAAUCAAACACAUAAAAAUAAGUAAAUCUUAAACAAACGAGGUGCACACCUUUAAUGUCUCCGUACUUUAGAUGCAGAGGCCAGUGUUUCUCGGUCAAAAGGAGAAGAAAGGAAGGGAGGAAGGGAGGGUCAUCUUGACCUGAUGGUGUAUGUAAUCCCAGCCUGGGGACAAAAGCAGGAGGACUGUGAGUUCCAGACCAGUCUGGGUUAUGUAAUGAGACCCGUCUCACAAAGACAAGAUGAAGGAAGCCACACAGACACAAAAGAGAAAUCAAAACUGAACCAUAGCGACAAAGACAUACCAUGUCUCCAUAGCAACAAAGACAUGUCUCUCCUUUCUGCUUCAAACCCUCCCUGCAGGUGACUGAUCACAGCCUUUAACUCCAGCUUCAGGGGCUCCAAUGCCUUCCUCUGGCCCCUCUGGAUACCUCCACACGGGACACACAAAAACCAAAAUCUUCAGAGGUAGAUAAUGCUCUCAGAAGCAACAGGUUAUUAGAGGAAAACGCCAUCUGCAGGUGUUUUCCAUAGAGGCCCCCAGAAGCCUAAUAUGUUACCGCCAUUGCUGCGGGACUGGAUCUAGGGCCUCUGUGCUGGGCACCUGCUCCCUCUGAGCUGUUCCCAGCUCUCUCUGCAUAAACGUGAUCUCAAGAUCCUCUCAGACUGCAGCUUUGCACUUGUGGGACUAUAUCUUUCAUCUGUGAAAGUAGCACAAGCUAAUAAAAACUUAAUCUUAAUAAUUAGGUGAACAUUAAAAUGUUUUAUGAGGUUGCUGUAAAAAAAAUGUGGCCAAGUUUUGCAUAGCUUGUGGCAUAAUCUUUCAGAAGAGUAAUAUCCAAGGUCUAAGGAAAACAAGAGGGGGGGCUGGGGAUUUAGCUCAGUGGUAGAGCGCUUGCCUAGGAAGCACAAGGCCCUGGGUUCGGUCCCCAGCUCCGAAAAAAAAAAAAAAAAGACCAAAAAAAAAAAAAAAAAAGGAAAACAAGAGGGGGGCUGGGGAUUUAGCUCAGUGGUAGAGCGCUUACCUAGGAAGCGCAAGGCCCUGGGUUCGGUCCCCAGCUCCGAAAAAAAGAACCAAAAAAAAAAAAAUAAUAAUAAUAAUAAAAUAAAAUAAAUAAAUAAAACAACAAUAAUCACAUGGUGGCUCACAGCCAUCUUUCAUGGGAUCUAACGCCCUCUUCUGGUGUGUUUGAAGACAGUGACAGUUACUCUAUACAAAAUUAAAAAUAAAACAAAA